GGCCAGACUCCUACGGGAGGCAGCAGUGGGGAAUAUUGCACAAUGGGGGGAACCCUGAUGCAGCGACGCCGCGUGGGUGAAGAAGCGCCUCGGCGCGUAAAGCCCUGUCAGCAGGGAAGAAAAUGACGGUACCUGAAGAAGAAGCCCCGGCUAACUACGUGCCAGCAGCCGCGGUAAUACGUAGGGGGCAAGCGUUAUCCGGAUUUACUGGGUGUAAAGGGGGCGCAGACGGCGAUGCAAGCCAGGAGUGAAAGCCCGGGGCCCAACCCCGGGACUGCUCUUGGAACUGCGUGGCUGGAGUGCAGGAGGGGCAGGCGGAAUUCCUGGUGUAGCGGUGAAAUGCGUAGAUAUCAGGAGGAACACCGGUGGCGAAGGCGGCCUGCUGGACUGCAACUGACGUUGAGGCCCGAAAGCGUGGGGAGCAAACAGGAUUAGAUACCCCUGUAG
Molecule: ribosomal RNA, 447 nt
Filed under: uncultured bacterium
Lineage: Bacteria
Description: partial 16S ribosomal RNA
Rfam family: Bacterial small subunit ribosomal RNA
Source: RNAcentral